Molecule: ribosomal RNA, 684 nt
Filed under: uncultured bacterium
Lineage: Bacteria
Description: bacterial SSU rRNA
Rfam family: Bacterial small subunit ribosomal RNA
Source: RNAcentral
GAGUUUGAUCCUGGCUCAGGAUGAACGCUGGCGGCGUGCUUAACACAUGCAAGUCGAACGGGGAUGCUUAUGGAAGGAGUGCUUGCACUUUGGAAAUGAGUAUCUUAGUGGCGGACGGGUGAGUAACGCGUGGGUAACCUGCCCCAUACCGGGGGAUACCACCUGGAAACAGGUGCUAAUACCGCAUAAGCGCACGGGAGCGCAUGCUCCUGUGUGAAAAACUCCGGUGGUAUGGGAUGGACCCGCGUCUGAUUAGCCAGUUGGUAGGGUAACGGCCUACCAAAGCGACGAUCAGUAGCCGGCCUGAGAGGGUGGACGGCCACAUUGGGACUGAGACACGGCCCAAACUCCUACGGGAGGCAGCAGUGGGGAAUAUUGCACAAUGGGGGAAGCCCUGAUGCAGCGACGCCGCGUGAGUGAAGAAGUAUUUCGGUAUGUAAAGCUCUAUCAGCAGGAACGAGACAAGACGGUACCUGACUAAGAAGCCCCGGCUAACUACGUGCCAGCAGCCGCGGUAAUACGUAGGGGGCAAGCGUUAUCCGGAAUCACUGGGUGUAAAGGGAGCGUAGACGGCUGAGCAAGCCUGAAGUGAAAGGCGGGGGCCCAACCCCUGGACUGCUUUGGGAACUGUACGGCUGGAGUGCAGGAGAGGUAAGUGGAAUUCCUAGUGUAGCGGUGAAAUGC